UGACGUGUUUGGGAUUCCUAACGGAAAUAUGCACUCAGCAUCAUUUCCCCCUCGACAGCUUCCUUGUAGGGUACAUAGUGGUCAUCAUGUAACCAAUUAGACAAGAUAUGUCUCAAUUUGUUCUGCUGUUGGGGCCAUGGUGUGGCCGGAAGCUUUGGCCCGAGCAAGCGUAGAUAUACGCAGCAGCACUCUGUUAAAUUGAUGAGCUGAGAUAGUUUCUGACUCCACCAUCUGGAAUUCUAGUCUGGGGUUCUGCUAAAAGCUGCUGACCCACGUUUCAACUCUUAAACUCGG
Molecule: non-coding RNA, 294 nt
Organism: Salmo salar (Atlantic salmon)
Lineage: Eukaryota; Metazoa; Chordata; Actinopteri; Salmoniformes; Salmonidae
Source: Rfam